GAUGAACGCUGGCGGCGUGCCUAAUACAUGCAAGUCGAGCGAACGGACGAUAAGCUUUCUUCUCUGAUGUUAGCGGCGGACGGGUGAGUAACACGUGGAUCACCUACCUAUAAUACUUGGAUCACUUCGUGAAACCGGAUCUAAUACCGGAUCAUAUUUUGAACCGCAUGGUUCAAAAGUUAAUGACGGUCUUGCUGUCUCUUAUCGCUGGUUCCGCGCUGCAUUAGCUAGUUGGUAAGGUAACGGCUUACCAAGGCAACGAUGCAUAGCCGACCUGAGAGGGUGAUCGGCCACACUGGAACUGAGACACGGUCCAGACUCCUACGGGAGGCAGCAGUAGGGAAUAUUCCGCAAUGGGCGAAAGCCUGACGGAGCAAGGCCGCGUGAGUGAUGAAGGUCUUCGGAUCGUAAAACUCUGUUAUUAGGGAAGAACAGAUGUGGAAGUAAAUGUGCACAUAUUGACGGUACCGAAUCAGAAAGCAACGGCUAACUACGUG
This 497-nucleotide ribosomal RNA is filed under the name uncultured bacterium. Its description in RNAcentral is "partial 16S ribosomal RNA". It matches the Rfam family "Bacterial small subunit ribosomal RNA", at positions 28 to 507 of the family's 1533-position model. The record is from RNAcentral.